UGCGCAGGUGGGGGUGUAAGUCAGUGGUGAAAUACUGCCGCUUAACGGUAGAACUGCCAUUGAUACUGCGAGUCUUGAGUAUGGUUGAGGUAGGCGGAAUGUGUUGUGUAGCGGUGAAAUGCAUAGAUAUGACACAGAACGCCGAUUGCGAAGGCAGCUUACUAAGCCAUUACUGACGCUGAGGCACGAAAGCGUGGGGAGCGAACAGGAUUAGAUACCCUGGUAGUCC
This 229-nucleotide ribosomal RNA is filed under the name uncultured bacterium. RNAcentral describes it as "partial 16S ribosomal RNA". It matches the Rfam family "Bacterial small subunit ribosomal RNA", at positions 568 to 796 of the family's 1533-position model. The record is from RNAcentral.